Molecule: ribosomal RNA, 596 nt
Filed under: uncultured bacterium
Lineage: Bacteria
Description: bacterial SSU rRNA
Rfam family: Bacterial small subunit ribosomal RNA (bases 1-519)
Source: RNAcentral
CCUACGGGAGGCAGCAGUAAGGAAUCUUCCACAAUGGACGAAAGUCUGAUGGAGCAACGCCGCGUGCAGGAUGAAGGCUUUCGGGUCGUAAACUGCUUUUAUAUGGGAAGAUUAUGACGGUACCAUAUGAAUAAGGACCGGCUAACUACGUGCCAGCAGCCGCGGUAAUACGUAGGGUCCAAGCGAUAUCCGGAAUUACUGGGCGUAAAGCGUGUGUAGGUGGAUUAAUAAGUGUGAUGCGAAAUCCGGCGGCUCAACCGUUUGGACUGUGUCGCAUACUGUUAGUCUAGAGGACGGCAGAGGUAAGUGGAAUUACGGGUGUAGCAGUGAAAUGCGUAGAUAUCCGUAGGAACACCAAUGGCGAAGGCAGCUUACUGGGCCACACCUGACACUGAGACACGAAAGCGUGGGGAGCGAACAGGAUUAGAUACCCUGGUAGUCCACGCCGUAAACGAUGCAUACUAUUAGUAUGGGGUAUGACCCCCUGUGCUGAGAAGCUAACGCGAUAAGUAUGCCGCCUGGGGNGAGAGCGCAGCUAAACUACAANAGAAGUAGACGGCGUGAGACGUGCCGACGGACGACGACGAGGGAGGAGG